Long non-coding RNA from Chinchilla lanigera (long-tailed chinchilla), 395 nucleotides. RefSeq lists it as uncharacterized. Lineage: Eukaryota; Metazoa; Chordata; Mammalia; Rodentia; Chinchillidae. The transcript is spliced from 2 exons. The record is from RefSeq and is a predicted model, not a curated record.
GGAAAAAUUUUAUGGGAGCCAGCUGCCAUCUGGCUAUAGAUAAGCAGCAUGAGACUGCCCAGAAGGUGCUAAGGGUUUCAGGAAAUGAACUCCCAUCCUGUUCUCGGAAAAGCCACAAAAGAACAUCUGCUGUUUACUCAGAAUAACUCCCCUGCCCUUAAUCUAAACUUCCUCAUUCUUGUAUCUCCCCACCAAUCCCCCACCAAUGAUUGUAAAGGUCAGUUUAAACUAACCAAUGCUAUCUGCUUCUGUGGUUUCGCUUGCAAAUACCCGCCUUCUGUGGUUUUUUGGUUUAAAAGUCCAGCUGGACUCUGGCUCGGGGCUCUCUGUUCCUGCGCGUUCAGUGAGCCCCACGCAUGCCUGGUAAAUAAACUCCCCUUGCUUAUUGCAUGAGA